This 780-nucleotide long non-coding RNA is filed under the name Brassica rapa (field mustard). RNAcentral's name for it is "long non-coding RNA (BRAP_LNC004456)". The record is from RNAcentral. Lineage: Eukaryota; Viridiplantae; Streptophyta; Magnoliopsida; Brassicales; Brassicaceae.
CCACAUUUUCUUAUUCACAAAACAAACUCCCACAUUACCUUAUUCAUAAAACAAACUCUCACAUUACCUUAUUCAUAAAACAAACUACACAAAAUCGAGUAUAUUUCUUCUUUUUCUUUUUUUUUCUAGUUUUUACAGUACGAGGUGUUUACGACGAUUUUGGUUACGUGGUUUUUACGACGAUUCCGUCCUACGUGGAAUUAAAGUGGGCCGCGUUCAUCAUUUAUUUUACGUGGUAUUUACGACGAAUCUUUCCUACGUGGUAUUUACGACGAAUUUGUCCUACGUGGUAUUUACGACGAAUCUCUCAUACGUGGAAUAAACGAGGAAUUCGUCGUAAGUUCGACGUCAACAUACGAGGAAUUAACGAGUAUUCCGUUUAAAUCCCUAAAAUCCGAAACCCCAAACCCCAUAUUCCUUAUCUUCUACUUCAUAUAUUUCAAACCCUAUCUUUAUUUUCAUUCCAAACCACAAUUCCUUAUCUUCUAAUUCAUAUAUUCCAAACCACAAUUCCCACUUUUACUUAUUCAUAAAACAAACUCCCACAUUUUCUUAUUCACAAAACAAACUCCCACAUUACCUUAUUCAUAAACAAACUCUCACAUUACCUUAUUCAUAAAACAAACUACACAAAAUCGAAAAUACAUCAAUCGGAUUCAUCGACAUUCUCGUCAUCACUAGAAAUGUCUUCAUUUUCAUUAAACUCGUCUUCAACAGCUUCGUCUGUGGCAUCAUCGGUAAGAUCUUCGUACUCGUGAUUAUGCGGAUCAAUGAGAAGGA